CUACAUGCACUGAUAAACCGGGAAGAGUUUGCGGUUCUUGUGGUUUGCACUAGGAUACAAAAAUGAAGAAUCCUAUGCUUUCUGCCUGUCUUUGUGGUAGCCCAGAUUGAACUGGGGAAGCACACCA
Jaculus jaculus (lesser Egyptian jerboa) is the source of this 127-nucleotide small nucleolar RNA. RefSeq annotates it as small nucleolar RNA SNORA31. The transcript has a single exon. The record is from RefSeq and is a predicted model, not a curated record. NCBI's taxonomy places the organism in Eukaryota, Metazoa, Chordata, Mammalia, Rodentia, Dipodidae.